RNAcentral lists this ribosomal RNA (497 nucleotides) under uncultured bacterium. Its description in RNAcentral is "partial 16S ribosomal RNA". It matches the Rfam family "Bacterial small subunit ribosomal RNA", at positions 28 to 507 of the family's 1533-position model. The record is from RNAcentral.
GAUGAACGCUGGCGGCGUGCCUAAUACAUGCAAGUCGAGCGAACGGACGAGAAGCUUGCUUCUCUGAUGUUAGCGGCGGACGGGUGAGUAACACGUGGAUAACCUACCUAUAAGACUGGGAUAACUUCGGGAAACCGUAGCUAAUACCGGAUAAUAUUUUGAACCGCAUGGUUCAAAAGUGAAAGACGGUCUUGCUGUCACUUAUAGAUGGAUCCGCGCUGCAUUAGCUAGUUGGUAAGGUAACGGCUUACCAAGGCAACGAUGCAUAGCCGACCUGAGAGGGUGAUCGGCCACACUGGAACUGAGACACGGUCCAGACUACUACGGGAGGCAGCAGUAGGGAAUCUUCCGCAAUGGGCGAAAGCCUGACGGAGCAACGCCGCGUGAGUGAUGAAGGUCUUAGGAUCGUAAAACUCUGUUAUUAGGGAAGAACAUAUGUGUAAGUAACUGUGCACAUAUUGACGGUACCUAAUCAGAAAGCCACGGCUAACUACGUG